This 258-nucleotide ribosomal RNA is filed under the name Pseudomonas sp. PDM07. RNAcentral describes it as "partial 23S ribosomal RNA". It matches the Rfam family "Bacterial large subunit ribosomal RNA", at positions 1641 to 1884 of the family's 2925-position model. The record is from RNAcentral. Lineage: Bacteria; Pseudomonadati; Pseudomonadota; Gammaproteobacteria; Pseudomonadales; Pseudomonadaceae.
ACCGUACCCCAAACCGACACAGGUGGUUGGGUAGAGAAUACCAAGGCGCUUGAGAGAACUCGGGUGAAGGAACUAGGCAAAAUGGCACCGUAACUUCGGGAGAAGGUGCGCCGGUGAGGGUGAAGCACUUGCUGCGUAAGCCCACGCCGGUCGAAGAUACCAGGCCGCUGCGACUGUUUAUUAAAAACACAGCACUCUGCAAACACGAAAGUGGACGUAUAGGGUGUGACGCCUGCCCGGUGCCGGAAGGUUAAUUGA